UGCCAGCAGCCGCGGUAAUACAGAGGGUGCGAACGUUGUUCGGAAUUACUGGGCGUAAAGCGCGUGUAGGCGGCGGCGCAAGUCGGAUGUGAAAGCCCACGGCUCAACCGUGGAAGUGCAUUCGAAACUGCGUGGCUAGAGUCCUGGAGAGGAAGGUGGAAUGCUUGGUGUAGAGGUGAAAUUCGUAGAUAUCAAGCGGAACACCGGUGGCGAAGGCGGCCUUCUGGACAGUGACUGACGCUGAGACGCGAAAGCGUGGGGAGCAAACAGGAUUAGAUA
This 279-nucleotide ribosomal RNA is filed under the name uncultured bacterium. RNAcentral describes it as "partial 16S ribosomal RNA". It matches the Rfam family "Bacterial small subunit ribosomal RNA", at positions 506 to 784 of the family's 1533-position model. The record is from RNAcentral.